Molecule: ribosomal RNA, 253 nt
Filed under: uncultured bacterium
Lineage: Bacteria
Description: partial 16S ribosomal RNA
Rfam family: Bacterial small subunit ribosomal RNA
Source: RNAcentral
UACGGAGGGGGCGAGCGUUAUUCGGAAUUAUUGGGCGUAAAGGGCGCGUAGGCGGCUUGUUAGGUCAAAGGUGAAAUCCCUCGGCUCAACCGGGGAACUGCGUCUGAUACUGGUUGGCUUGAAUCCGGGAGAGGGAUGUGGAAUUCCAGGUGUAGCGGUGAAAUGCGUAGAUAUCUGGAGGAACACCGGUGGCGAAGGCGGCAUCCUGGACCGGUAUUGACGCUGAGGAGCGAAAGCCAGGGGAGCAAACGGG